UGGGGAAUUUUGGACAAUGGGCGAAAGCCUGAUCCAGCAAUGCCGCGUGUGUGAAGAAGGCCUUCGGGUUGUAAAGCACUUUUGUCCGGAAAGAAAUCCUUGGCUCUAAUACAGUCGGGGGGAUGACGGUACCGGAAGAAUAAGCACCGGCUAACUACGUGCCAGCAGCCGCGGUAAUACGUAGGGUGCAAGCGUUAAUCGGAAUUACUGGGCGUAAAGCGUGCGCAGGCGGUUUGCUAAGACCGAUGUGAAAUCCCGGGCUCAACCUGGGAACUGCAUUGGUGACUGGCAGGCUAGAGUAUGGCAGAGGGGGGUAGAAUUCCACGUGUAGCAGUGAAAUGCGUAGAGAUGUGGAGGAAUACCGAUGGCGAAGGCAGCCCCCUGGGCCAAUACUGACGCUCAUGCACGAAAGCGUGGGGGAGCAAACAGGAUUAGAUACCCUGGUAGUCCACGCCCUAAAACGAUGUCAACUAGUUGUUGGGGAUUCAUUUCCUUAGUAACGUAGCUAACGCGUGAAGUUGACCGCCUGGGGAGUACGGUCGCAAGAUUAAAACUUAAAUGAAUUGACGGGGUCAUAGCUGUUUCCU
This 587-nucleotide ribosomal RNA is filed under the name uncultured bacterium. RNAcentral's name for it is "partial 16S ribosomal RNA". It matches the Rfam family "Bacterial small subunit ribosomal RNA", at positions 355 to 1375 of the family's 1533-position model. The record is from RNAcentral.